This is a non-coding RNA of Phalacrocorax carbo (great cormorant), 1928 nucleotides long. The record is from RefSeq and is a predicted model, not a curated record. NCBI's taxonomy places the organism in Eukaryota, Metazoa, Chordata, Aves, Suliformes, Phalacrocoracidae.
AGCAUCUCCAGCGGAAAAGCAGGGGAGUGCUUCUCUUCAGGCCUGGCAUGGAGGAGGGAGAAGACGGUUUGAAUCCUUCCCAGCAAAGGAGGCCAGUGUGCCUGGGAAAAGCUCUCAGCAUUAGCUUAUCAUCUAAAGGGGGGUGGGAUGGAGAAGAGGCAGACAAAGACAACGGAAGAAGGUACAAAAGCAAAGGUUUGUUUUGGCAUGAAUGAAAUGGAUAAGCUCCCAUUUCAAAUGGCAGAGCAAUGUCUUCAUUCUUCAAACAAAAAAGUCUCUCCAUGGAGUAACUUAAAUAAAAUGCCAGGUGUUUUUAAUGGAAACACCAUUUUUGGACAGCUAUACUAACAGACUAGCCUCAGCGUCACUGUGUUGUCCUGUCAUCUUUUUCCCACUGCUCCUGUGCUGUCGUUUAGACCAAAGCUGCCUCCAGUGACAGAGAUGCCCGCACUUGCUUGUGUGUUGGGUACCAAAUCCUGCUGCACGGCAGGAGAACGGCUGGAGCGUAUCGAUCUUGGAUUUGUCCAUCUUAAAUCCACCUGUUGUGCUCGGCUAGGGGAUAAUGCAUCAAGCAGGGAGCAUGGAAGGAUUACGCUGCCAACCAAGCUUGAAGGACCAACCUGGAUGCUGUAAAUGGCUCUGAGGAGUGGGAUUCCCUUCUUCUCUACCUCCAAGACCCAGAUCCCGGGAGAUUCGUCUGGGGCAGGCUGUCCCCACAUCCACAUAGGGCUAACACUCAGCAGCGUACAAUGCUAUUGCACAGUGUCACCCAGCCCUUCAGUUUGGUCCUGUGGUGUUUCCACCCCCCAGACACCCAGGAUGAUCAGGGGAGUGCUCCUGCCCUGCUCCCCACCUUGGGGGACCUUCUGCUUAUGCAGCAUUUUGGGGGAGCACCAUAGCGAGCCUGGGGGUUUUGUAUUGGCUAAUGUGGUUAUUUCCAGACUGCAGCAAUCUAAUGUUGCAUGGCUGAGGCUUGCAAAGAAGCAGCAAUUUAUCAACCUAUUUACUGAAGGCAGAUGGGGAACUUUUCCCUGAAACUAGUAGAAAUGAAGAAAAUACUGGGAAGGAAGGAGUGGGAGGAACUGAAACUGACUGGAAUAAUUUCUGGCCAGGCUGUUAAAUCAGCAUGCAGAAGUCCUCACAAUGAAUGCAAUUUGCCUGAACAAUACUGUGGGGCCCAGGACACAGCAGGUAGCUCUGAGCUUGGUUUUCUCUGCACUAGAUGUGCCUAGGGGUGUGCAGACACCGACCUCCAGGGUUUGGCUUCCAGUGGGUGUCUGUGCUGCUGCACCCGGGACAAAGUCAAAGCUGACCUUGUCCCUGACCAGAACUGGAAGGAGCCGUGAACCUCACUACAAGAAUAACACUUUAAACCUUCAGAAGACCUUAGUCUGGAACAAUUCAAGGAAUGUCUUCAUUUACAUUGAGCAGAAAAAGAAAAAUGAGAAUAUAAAAAUAUUGGUGCGCCUGAAAUGCAGCUUGGCAUUAUGCUGGGAGUAAGGAUGGGGCAUCCUUUUUCCUGCAGGUUGGCAGAUAUGGAUCCAGUGCAAAAUGUUUCUCGUGGAGUAGAUCUAUCAUCUUCAAGACCUGAUGUAAUUCAUGUCUAUGUAAGGGGAGACAGACUGCUAUCAGGCUGCUUUUUGUCAUUAUUUAUAGUGCUGGACGUAUAAAUCAAGCCAGGUCUCUGCAGUGGAUUUACAGCAGGAUGUCUGUUUUUGCAUGAUUCAGCUGUAGAUCAAUGAACAAGGCUUUGCUCUGGCACCUCCUUGGCCACUAUCAUAAAUCAGCAAAAGGUGUUAGACAUUUUUAUAUUGUUCUUGGCAAGAUACAAACAAAAAAAUACAUGUGCAUUUUAAUACCCUCUGCUGUACUCAGAAAGACAGCAUGACCUUUUAAAUAUAUCUGCUUUGGAGUGUUGCUUAUAAAAA